This 344-nucleotide ribosomal RNA is filed under the name uncultured Acidobacteriaceae bacterium. Its description in RNAcentral is "bacterial SSU rRNA". It matches the Rfam family "Bacterial small subunit ribosomal RNA", at positions 1034 to 1382 of the family's 1533-position model. The record is from RNAcentral. Lineage: Bacteria; Pseudomonadati; Acidobacteriota; Terriglobia; Terriglobales; Acidobacteriaceae.
ACAGGUGCUGCAUGGCUGUCGUCAGCUCGUGUCGUGAGAUGUUCGGGUUAAGUCCCGCAACGAGCGCAACCCUUAUCAUUACGUUGCUACGCAAGGGCACUCUAAUGAGACUGCCGGUGACAAACCGGAGGAAGGUGGGGAUGACGUCAAGUCCUCAUGGCCCUUAUGACCUGGGCUACACACGUGCUACAAUGGUUGGUACAACGAGUUGCGAGUCGGUGACGGCGAGCUAAUCUCUUAAAGCCAAUCUCAGUUCGGAUUAUAGGCUGCAACUCGCCUACAUGAAGUCGGAAUCGCUAGUAAUCGCGGAUCAGCACGCCGCGGUGAAUACGUUCCCGGGCCUU